This 242-nucleotide ribosomal RNA is filed under the name uncultured bacterium. RNAcentral describes it as "partial 16S ribosomal RNA". It matches the Rfam family "Bacterial small subunit ribosomal RNA", at positions 524 to 765 of the family's 1533-position model. The record is from RNAcentral.
UACGUAGGGUGCGAGCGUUAAUCGGAAUUACUGGGCGUAAAGCGUGCGCAGGCGGUUUUGUAAGCCAGAUGUGAAAUCCCCGGGCUCAACCUGGGAAUGGCAUUUGGGACUGCAAGGCUGGAGUGCGGCAGAGGAGACUGGAAUUCCUGGUGUAGCAGUGAAAUGCGUAGAUAUCAGGAGGAAUACCGAUGGCGAAGGCAGGUCUCUGGGCUGGCACUGACGCUCAUGCACGAAAGCGUGGG